RNAcentral lists this ribosomal RNA (250 nucleotides) under uncultured bacterium. RNAcentral describes it as "partial 16S ribosomal RNA". It matches the Rfam family "Bacterial small subunit ribosomal RNA", at positions 812 to 1058 of the family's 1533-position model. The record is from RNAcentral.
AUAACUAGCUGUCCGGGCACUUGGUGCUUGGGUGGCGCAGCUAACGCAUUAAGUUAUCCGCCUGGGGAGUACGGUCGCAAGAUUAAAACUCAAAGGAAUUGACGGGGGCCUGCACAAGCGGUGGAGCAUGUGGUUUUAAUUCGAAGCAACGCGCAGAACCUUACCAGCGUUUGACAUGUCCGGACGAUUUCCAGAGAUGGAUCUCUUCCCUUCGGGGACUGGAACACAGGUGCUGCAUGGCUGUCGUCAG